Molecule: ribosomal RNA, 449 nt
Filed under: uncultured bacterium
Lineage: Bacteria
Description: SSU rRNA
Rfam family: Bacterial small subunit ribosomal RNA
Source: RNAcentral
AGAACGAACGCUGGCGGCAGGCUUAACACAUGCAAGUCGAACGGUUGUAGCAAUACAGCCGUGGCGCACGGGUGAGUAACGCGUGGGAACGUACCUUUCAGUCGGGAAUAACAGCGGGAAACUGCUGACAAUACCCGAUAUUCUCUACGGAGGAAAGAUUUAUCGCUGAAAGAUCGGCCCGCGUCAGAUUAGCUAGUUGGUGGGGUAAUGGCCUACCAAGGCUCCGAUCUGUAGCUGGUCUGAGAGGACGACCAGCCACACUGGAACUGAGACACGGUCCAGACUCCUACGGGAGGCAGCAGUGGGGAAUAUUGGACAAUGGGCGAAAGCCUGAUCCAGCCAUGCCGCGUGAAUGAUGAAGGCCUUAGGGUUGUAAAGUUCUUUUGUCGAGGGAAGAUAAUGACGGUACCUGAAGAAUAAGCACCGGCUAACUUCGUGCCAGCAGCCGC